AAAGUUCACAGAGUUAUGAUGAUGAUCCUACGUCCCUACUUCCUAGCCAUGAACAUUGACGUUUGUUUGGAGGCGGUGGCAGUGUGUCACGCUUGUCAACUGUCAAGCCAAGCGAGAAAGAGAUAGAGGGUUGUGUGGUCUCCAUAAAAGUUACAGUUCCCUUGUUCUAUUUAUUUUCUCAGUUUUCAUUAACCCAUUUUGCCGGUUGUUUUUCUUGUUUCAAAACCCACAUAAUCAAUCAAAAACAACCAAUUUGUUCAUUGAAAAAAAAAAAGAAUUUAGAUUUUUCUUUCGAGUAGGCGAAGAUAGUUUAAAUUGAUUGGAAGGGGAGUCUUUGAUGCCGUUAUUCUGUGCAAGCCACGCAAUACAACUCCCACAUAAUAAUUUGGUAGUGAGAAGAAAGAAUCUCACAUCCAAGCAUGUAGGCGCUCUGCUAUUCUCCAGUAGUAAAUGCUGCCUAGCCGCCUCUUCCAGCAAGGUGGGUAUCUCAGAAAACACUGCUUCUCUUUCUGGUUUUCAUCGAACUUCUCCAUCGAUCAUGGAGGACGAAAAGUUGGGGAUUAUAUCCUCUGAAACAGAGGAAUAUUCAACAGAAUUGGAUGUUGCUGUUAGAAUCGUCCAAAUGGCUUGCUUUCUCUGUCAGAGGGUGCAGCAGAGCUUGAUUUCCAAGGGCAAUAAUCAGGUUAAAUCCAAAGAUGAUAGUUCUCCGGUCACAGUUGCAGAUUGGAGCGUCCAAGCAACUGUUAGUUGGAUGCUGUCCAAGUGCUUUGGGAGCAACAAUGUGCUAAUCAUUGCAGAAGAAGACGUUCAAGCUCUUUCCAGGGAUGAUGCUGUAGGCCUAUUGGAAUCUGUAGUGAACACUGUGAACGAGUGCCUAGCUGAAGCUCCCAUGUUUGGUCUUAGAGGUCCAGUUAGGUCACUUGGAACUUCAGAAGUUCUUGAGGCUAUCAGCCGAUGCAACUCAACAGGGGGUCCAACUGGAAGAUAUUGGGUGCUAGACCCUGUUGAUGGUACAUUGGGAUUUGUACGGGGUGAUCAAUAUGCAGUGGCUUUAGCAUUAAUAGAGGAUGGAGAAGUUGUAGUUGGAGUUGUUGGGUGCCCCAACUACCCAAUGAAGAAGGAGUGGCUAAAUUAUCAACAUCGCUAUUACAGGAUUGUGUCCAAGUUGUCCUCAUCAGCAUCUGAAUCUUGGGACAAAGGUUGUGUGAUGUAUGCAAAGAGGGGUAGUAGAAAGGCAUGGAUGCAACCAUUGAUCUAUGAAAAUAAGAAGCCUACUUCAAGGAUAAUUCGUGUUUCCUCCAUUGAUGACCCAGCACUAGCAACAUUCUGUGAACCUGUUGAAAAGGCCAACUCAUCCCACUCCUUCACAGCGGGGCUAGCUCACAGUGUUGGCCUUAGAAAUCAGCCAUUGCGUGUCUACAGCAUGGUGAAAUAUGCAGCCAUAGCUCGGGGGGAUGCUGAGAUUUUUAUGAAGUUUGCAAAGGCUGGAUACAAGGAAAAGAUAUGGGACCAUGCACCUGGUGUACUGAUCAUACAAGAGGCUGGUGGUGUGGUGACAGAUGCUGGAGGGCGUCAAUUGGAUUUUUCGAAGGGAAUUUACCUAGAAGGCCUUGAUCGAGGAAUAAUUGCUUGUUCUGGAGCCAGAUUGCAUGAAAAAAUCAUCAAGGCUGUUGAUGCUAGCUGGAACUCCUCUAAUCUAUGAUGUUCUUUUCUGUAUAUUAUCAAUGCAUCAGGAUGGAGAAUGUUACCUGUAUCAGUUGGUAUGGUAAGAGCUUUGUAACAGUAGGGCAAGGAAACUAACGAAGAGGGAUGCCGAUGAAGCUCGGUAACAUAUAUUUAUGAUUCACACCAUUACAAAAUGUGAUAUGAAGAUGACCCACUAGAAUGAUUUUUGAAGGUGGUGGGCUGUUGUGGCAGGCUUGGUUCUUCUUUUAUGAACAAAGUAUAUUGCUUCUUGGACGUGGUCCACUAAUUCAUGCGAAUAUCAUGUUGCUGAGUCAAUAGAUUCCUGUGAAUAGCAUAGUUCCCACUUGACAUUAUGUUCCGAUGGAUUAUUAGCAUAAUGUACAUCAUACUUGUAUGAAUAUGGAAAUAAUACGCUGGACAUAAUGAUUACUGAAUGCACAUCUCAUAGGUGAUUCACAGUGUUUGUGAUCAA
This is an RNA transcript of Nelumbo nucifera (sacred lotus), 2158 nucleotides long. It is a transcript of the gene named 3',5'-bisphosphate nucleotidase AHL-like, with no coding region annotated. Lineage: Eukaryota; Viridiplantae; Streptophyta; Magnoliopsida; Proteales; Nelumbonaceae. The record is from RefSeq and is a predicted model, not a curated record.